RNAcentral lists this ribosomal RNA (1399 nucleotides) under uncultured bacterium. RNAcentral's name for it is "16S ribosomal RNA". It matches the Rfam family "Bacterial small subunit ribosomal RNA". The record is from RNAcentral.
UUAGAGUUUGAUCCUGGCUCAGGAUGAACGCUAGCGGCAGGCUUAACACAUGCAAGUCGAGGGGCAGCGAGAUCAGUGCUUGCACUGAUUGUCGGCGACCGGCGCACGGGUGCGUAACGCGUAUGCAACCUACCCAUUACAGGGGGAUAACACUGAGAAAUCGGUACUAAUACCCCAUAACAUCCAGGGAGGCAUCUUCUUGGGUUGAAAACUCCGGUGGUAAUGGAUGGGCAUGCGUUGUAUUAGUUAGUUGGUGGGGUAACGGCUCACCAAGACAACGAUACAUAGGGGGACUGAGAGGUUAACCCCCCACAUUGGUACUGAGACACGGACCAAACUCCUACGGGAGGCAGCAGUGAGGAAUAUUGGUCAAUGGACGCAAGUCUGAACCAGCCAUGCCGCGUGCAGGAAGACGGCUCUAUGAGUUGUAAACUGCUUUUGUACGAGGGUAAACGCAGAUACGCGUAUCUGUCUGAAAGUAUCGUACGAAUAAGGAUCGGCUAACUCCGUGCCAGCAGCCGCGGUAAUACGGAGGAUUCAAGCGUUAUCCGGAUUUAUUGGGUUUAAAGGGUGCGUAGGCGGUCGGAUAAGUUAGAGGUGAAAUCCCGGGGCUCAACUUCGGAAUUGCCUCUGAUACUGUUCGGCUAGAGAGUAGUUGCGGUAGGCGGAAUGUAUGGUGUAGCGGUGAAAUGCUUAGAGAUCAUACAGAACACCGAUUGCGAAGGCAGCUUACCAAGCUACUUCUGACGUUGAGGCACGAAAGCGUGGGGAGCAAACAGGAUUAGAUACCCUGGUAGUCCACGCAGUAAAACGAUGAUAACUCGUUGUCGGCGAUACAGUGUCGGUGACUAAGCGAAAGCGAUAAGUUAUCCACCUGGGGAGUACGUUCGCAAGAAUGAAACUCAAAGGAAUUGACGGGGGCCCGCACAAGCGGAGGAACAUGUGGUUUAAUUCGAUGAUACGCGAGGAACCUUACCCGGGCUUGAAAGUUAGUGACGGAUCUUGAAAGAGGUCUUCCCUUCGGGGCACGAAACUAGGUGCUGCAUGGUUGUCGUCAGCUCGUGCCGUGAGGUGUCGGGUUAAGUCCCAUAACGAGCGCAACCCCUACCGUUAGUUGCCAGCAGGUCAAGCUGGGCACUCUGACGGGACUGCCGGUGUAAGCCGAGAGGAAGGUGGGGAUGACGUCAAAUCAGCACGGCCCUUACGUCCGGGGCUACACACGUGUUACAAUGGCAGGUACAGAGGGCAGCUACCCAGCGAUGGGAUGCGAAUCUCGAAAGCCUGUCUCAGUUCGGAUUGGAGGCUGAAACCCGCCUCCAUGAAGUUGGAUUCGCUAGUAAUCGCGCAUCAGCCAUGGCGCGGUGAAUACGUUCCCGGGCCUUGCACAAAGCGCCCGUCA